GAUGGAUUGGUGCCUUCGGGAACUGUGAGACAGGUGCUGCAUGGCUGUCGUCAGCUCGUGUUGUGAAAUGUUGGGUUAAGUCCCGCAACGAGCGCAACCCUUAUCCUUUGUUGCCAGCGGUUCGGCCGGGAACUCAAAGGAGACUGCCAGUGAUAAACUGGAGGAAGGUGGGGAUGACGUCAAGUCAUCAUGGCCCUUACGACCAGGGCUACACACGUGCUACAAUGGCAUAUACAAAGAGAAGCGACCUCGCGAGAGCAAGCGGACCUCAUAAAGUAUGUCGUAGUCCGGAUUGGAGUCUGCAACUCGACUCCAUGAAGUCGGAAUCGCUAGUAAUCGUAGAUCAGAAUGCUACGGUGAAUACGUUCCCGGGCCUUGUACACACCGCCCGUCACACCAUGGGAGUGGGUUGCAAAAGAAGUAGGUAGCUUAACCUUCGGGAGGGCGCUUACCACUUUGUGAUUCAUGACUGGGGUGAAGUCGUAACAAGGUAACCGUAGGGGAACCUGCGGUUGGAUCACCUCCUUA
Molecule: ribosomal RNA, 528 nt
Filed under: Klebsiella pneumoniae
Lineage: Bacteria; Pseudomonadati; Pseudomonadota; Gammaproteobacteria; Enterobacterales; Enterobacteriaceae
Description: bacterial SSU rRNA
Rfam family: Bacterial small subunit ribosomal RNA
Source: RNAcentral